This 934-nucleotide long non-coding RNA is filed under the name Pogona vitticeps (central bearded dragon). RNAcentral's name for it is "lncRNA (ENSPVIG00000014308.1)". The record is from RNAcentral. Lineage: Eukaryota; Metazoa; Chordata; Lepidosauria; Squamata; Agamidae.
AGGCCUGCCUAGAAACUAUAUAUUACAGUCAAAGGGCCUGGAAACAUUGUUUAUAUAUACAGUAUUCUACACACCCUAGAAGCCCCACUCAGCACAGCCAGUGGCCGUAUGAACAGAGAAUCCUGUCAUCGUUCAGAAAAUAGCAUUUCUAUUUCUACAUGUGCCUGGUAGCUCAGUGCUGAGAGUUUCUGCACAUACUCUUUCUGCUCCCUCUGUCUUUUUUAAAACAAUAGUUUAAUCUAGUCCAGUAUCAACAUCAGCAGAGACAGGGCCAGACUGAGUUUGGAUAUGCUGGAGUGUGAUUCCAAUUAACUGCACUGAACGCAGAAAUGAGUUUGUUCAAAAUGUCUCUCUUGUGCUUACUCACUUUACAAACCUCCUCCAGAACUCGUCCCAUGAGGGAGAAAGACAAUAUUCAAGGACAUUUCUGUCCAGCCAUUUUACAGAGAGAGAGAGAGGGAGAGAGAUGGUAUUACAGGGUCCUUUCAAAAACUUUUCCGGAGGCUGCAGUCUCCUUCAUCUGUAGUCUAGAAACAGUUACUUGUGAAGCGGAAAGAGAAACAGGAAUGCACGGCUUCUCUACCAGCUGUCUUAAGAGACUGUCCAAGGCUUUUCCUCAAAAGUCAUUCCACCCUGGACUGCAAGUUUAUUCUAUAUGCUUUGCUGAAAGAACUGGUACAGAAAGCUCCUUAUCUCCCUCACCUAUUUCACUGCCUGCUGGUCAUUGAAAAAGAUCAUAUGAAGUAAAAGUGAAGUGUAUCAUCUUGAAUGACUGUAGGAACUGUUGUAAGCUUUCUGAAGUGGUUUCAUUCUCAGCUAUGAGCACAAAGCAAACCAUAGAGCUCCAUCUACUGGCCAGAACAUGUACUAGAGUCACAAAGCAGUUUAUAGCGUACAUUGAGUCAUAUAUUGAGUCAUAUAUAGUACAUUGAGU